AGGAAAGCAGGGGAUCGUAAGACCUUGCGCUUUUGGAGCGGCCGAUGUCUGAUUAGCUAGUUGGUGAGGUAAAGGCUUACCAAGGCUUCGAUCAGUAGCUGGUCUGAGAGGACGACCAGCCACACUGGGACUGAGACACGGCCCAGACUCCUACGGGAGGCAGCAGUGGGGAAUUUUGGACAAUGGGGGCAACCCUGAUCCAGCCAUGCCGCGUGAGUGAAGAAGGCCUUCGGGUUGUAAAGCUCUUUCAGCCGGAACGAAAAGGUUACGGUUAAUACCCGUGACUAAUGACGGUACCGGAAGAAGAAGCACCGGCUAACUACGUGCCAGCAGCCGCGGUAAUACGUAGGGUGCGAGCGUUAAUCGGAAUUACUGGGCGUAAAGCGUGCGCAGGCGGUUUUGUAAGUCAGAUGUGAAAUCCCCGGGCUUAACCUGGGAACUGCGUUUGAAACUACAAGGCU
RNAcentral lists this ribosomal RNA (461 nucleotides) under uncultured beta proteobacterium. RNAcentral describes it as "bacterial SSU rRNA". It matches the Rfam family "Bacterial small subunit ribosomal RNA", at positions 200 to 642 of the family's 1533-position model. The record is from RNAcentral. Lineage: Bacteria; Pseudomonadati; Pseudomonadota; Betaproteobacteria.